GACGAACGCUGGCGGCGUGCUUAACACAUGCAAGUCGAACGGAAAAGCCCUGCUUUUGUGGGGUGCUCGAGUGGCGAACGGGUGAGUAACACGUGAGUAACCUGCCCUUGACUUUGGGAUAACUUCAGGAAACUGGGGCUAAUACCGGAUAGGAGCUCCUGCUGCAUGGUGGGGGUUGGAAAGUUUCGGCGGUUGGGGAUGGACUCGCGGCUUAUCAGCUUGUUGGUGGGGUAGUGGCUUACCAAGGCUUUGACGGGUAGCCGGCCUGAGAGGGUGACCGGCCACAUUGGGACUGAGAUACGGCCCAGACUCCUACGGGAGGCAGCAGUGGGGAAUAUUGCACAAUGGGCGGAAGCCUGAUGCAGCAACGCCGCGUGCGGGAUGACGGCCUUCGGGUUGUAAACCGCUUUCGCCUGUGACGAAGCGUGAGUGACGGGAAUGGGUAAAGAAGCACCGGCUAACUACGU
This 467-nucleotide ribosomal RNA is filed under the name uncultured bacterium. RNAcentral's name for it is "partial 16S ribosomal RNA". It matches the Rfam family "Bacterial small subunit ribosomal RNA", at positions 28 to 506 of the family's 1533-position model. The record is from RNAcentral.